RNAcentral lists this ribosomal RNA (400 nucleotides) under uncultured bacterium. RNAcentral describes it as "bacterial SSU rRNA". It matches the Rfam family "Bacterial small subunit ribosomal RNA", at positions 355 to 771 of the family's 1533-position model. The record is from RNAcentral.
UGGGGAAUCUUGCGCAAUGGGCGAAAGCCUGACGCAGCCAUGCCGCGUGAAUGAUGAAGGUCUUAGGAUUGUAAAGUUCUUUAGCCUGUGACGAUGAUGACGGUAACAGGAGAAUAAGCCCCGGCUAACUUCGUGCCAGCAGCCGCGGUAAUACGAAGGGGGCUAGCGUUGUUCGGAAUUACUGGGCGUAAAGCGCGCGUAGGCGGUUUUACAAGCCAGAGGUGAAAUGCCUGAGCUUAACUUGGGAAUUGCCUUUGGAACUGUAUGACUUUGAGGACGAGAGAGGUGAGUGGAAUUCCCAGUGUAGAGGUGAAAUUCGUAGAUAUUGGGAAGAACACCGGUGGCGAAGGCGGCUCACUGGCUCGUUUCUGACGCUGCAGCGCGAAAGCGUGGGGAUCAA